RNAcentral lists this ribosomal RNA (497 nucleotides) under uncultured bacterium. RNAcentral describes it as "partial 16S ribosomal RNA". It matches the Rfam family "Bacterial small subunit ribosomal RNA", at positions 28 to 507 of the family's 1533-position model. The record is from RNAcentral.
GAUGAACGCUGGCGGCGUGCCUAAUACAUGCAAGUCGAGCGAACAGACGAGGAGCUUGCUCCUCUGACGUUAGCGGCGGACGGGUGAGUAACACGUGGAUAACCUACCUAUAAGACUGGGAUAACUUCGGGAAACCGGAGCUAAUACCGGAUAAUAUAUUGAACCGCAUGGUUCAAUAGUGAAAGACGGUUUUGCUGUCACUUAUAGAUGGAUCCGCGCCGCAUUAGCUAGUUGGUAAGGUAACGGCUUACCAAGGCAACGAUGCGUAGCCGACCUGAGAGGGUGAUCGGCCACACUGGAACUGAGACACGGUCCAGACUCCUACGGGAGGCAGCAGUAGGGAAUCUUCCGCAAUGGGCGGAAGCCUGGCGGAGCAACGCCGCGUGAGUGAUGAAGGUCUUCGGAUCGUAAAACUCUGUUAUUAGGGAAGAACAAAUGUGUAAGUAACUAUGCACGUCUUGACGGUACCUAAUCAGAAAGCCACGGCUAACUACGUG